AGAUCUUUCUCACUUCCCUUCAAAUUUCCCGGUUCAUCUCAUUUGAGUAUUUUGUCGAAAAACACGAAGGGCUCCUGAUGAUGAUGAAUCGGGGGCAUACACAGAUCCAAGCACAUCUUCUUCUUCAUUCUCUUUCCCUAUGUGUCAUUCAUUUGAUUAUCUCUUCACUGCUCUGACUGGAAACGAGGCAGAAAAA
This is a non-coding RNA of Caenorhabditis elegans, 196 nucleotides long. Lineage: Eukaryota; Metazoa; Nematoda; Chromadorea; Rhabditida; Rhabditidae. The record is from Ensembl.